RNAcentral lists this ribosomal RNA (468 nucleotides) under uncultured bacterium. RNAcentral describes it as "partial 16S ribosomal RNA". It matches the Rfam family "Bacterial small subunit ribosomal RNA", at positions 28 to 507 of the family's 1533-position model. The record is from RNAcentral.
GACGAACGCUGGCGGCGUGCCUAACACAUGCAAGUCGAACGGUAAGGCCCUGCUUUUGUGGGGUGCGCGAGUGGCGAACGGGUGAGUAACACGUGAGUAACCUGCCCUUGACUGUGGGACAACAUCUGGAAACUGGGGCUAAUACCGCAUAGGAGCACCAGCCGCAUGGGGGGGGAUGGAAAAUGGCGGCGGUGGGGGAUGGAAUCGCGGCGUAUCAUCUUGUUGGUGGGGUGGUGUCUUACCAAGGCUAGGACGGGCAGCCGGCCUGGGAGGGUGAUCGGCCACAAUGGAACUGGGAUGCGACCCGGACUCGUACGGGAGGGAGGGGAGGAGAGUAGUGCACAGUACGCGGAGGCCUGAUGCAGCGACGCCGCGUGGGGGAUGACGGCAUGCGGGUUGGAACGUGCUUUCGCGUGGGACGAAGAGUGAGUGACGGUAACGAGUAAAGAAGCGACGGCUAACUACGUG